AUUGAACGCUGGCGGCAUGCCUUACACAUGCAAGUCGAACGGUAACAGGUCUUCGGAUGCUGACGAGUGGCGAACGGGUGAGUAAUAUAUCGGAACGUGCCCAGUAGUGGGGGAUAACUGCUCGAAAGAGCAGCUAAUACCGCAUACGACCUGAGGGUGAAAGGGGGGGAUCGCAAGACCUCUCGCUAUUGGAGCGGCCGAUAUAAGAUUAGCUAGUUGGUGGGGUAAAGGCCUACCAAGGCAACGAUCUGUAGUUGGUCUGAGAGGACGACCCGCCCACCUGGGACUGAGAAACGGCACAGACUCCUACGGGAGGCAGCAGUGGGGAAUUUUGGGCAAUGGGCGCAAGCCUGAUCCAGCAAUGCCGCGUGCAGGAAGAAGGCCUGCGGGUUGUAAACUGCUUUUGUCAGGGAAGAAAUCUUCUGGGCUAAUACCCCGGGAGGAUGACGGUACCUGAAGAAUAAGCACCGGCUAACUACGUGCCAGCCGCCGCAGUAA
This 498-nucleotide ribosomal RNA is filed under the name uncultured bacterium. RNAcentral describes it as "partial 16S ribosomal RNA". It matches the Rfam family "Bacterial small subunit ribosomal RNA", at positions 30 to 523 of the family's 1533-position model. The record is from RNAcentral.